AGUGAACGCUGGCGGUAGGCCUAACACAUGCAAGUCGAACGGCAGCACAGUAAGAGCUUGCUCUUACGGGUGGCGAGUGGCGGACGGGUGAGGAAUACAUCGGAAUCUACUUUUUCGUGGGGGAUAACGUAGGGAAACUUACGCUAAUACCGCAUACGACCUACGGGUGAAAGCAGGGGAUCUUCGGACCUUGCGCGAUUGAAUGAGCCGAUGUCGGAUUAGCUAGUUGGCGGGGUAAAGGCCCACCAAGGCGACGAUCCGUAGCUGGUCUGAGAGGAUGAUCAGCCACAAUGGAACUGAGACACGGUCCAGACUCCUACGGGAGGCAGCAGGGGGAAAUAUGGGACAAUGGGCGCAAGCCUGAUCCAGCCAUACCGCGGGGGUGAAGAAGGCCUUCGGGUUUUAAAGCCCUUUUGUUGGGAAAAAAAAGCAGCAGGUUAAUACCCCGCUGUUUUGACGGUACCCAAAGAAUAAGCACCGGCUAACUUCGU
This 491-nucleotide ribosomal RNA is filed under the name uncultured bacterium. RNAcentral's name for it is "partial 16S ribosomal RNA". It matches the Rfam family "Bacterial small subunit ribosomal RNA", at positions 29 to 506 of the family's 1533-position model. The record is from RNAcentral.